AGCGUACACGGUGGAUGCCCUGGCAGUCAGAGGCGAUGAAGGACGUGCUAAUCUGCGAUAAGCGUCGGUAAGGUGAUAUGAACCGUUAUAACCGGCGAUUUCCGAAUGGGGAAACCCAGUGUGUUUCGACACACUAUCAUUAACUGAAUCCAUAGGUUAAUGAGGCGAACCGGGGGAACUGAAACAUCUAAGUACCCCGAGGAAAAGAAAUCAACCGAGAUUCCCCCAGUAGCGGCGAGCGAACGGGGAGCAGCCCAGAGCCUGAAUCAGUGUGUGUGUUAGUGGAAGCGUCUGGAAAGGCGCGCGAUACAGGGUGACAGCCCCGUACACAAAAAUGCACAUGCUGUGAGCUCGAUGAGUAGGGCGGGACACGUGGUAUCCUGUCUGAAUAUGGGGGGACCAUCCUCCAAGGCUAAAUACUCCUGACUGACCGAUAGUGAACCAGUACCGUGAGGGAAAGGCGAAAAGAACCCCGGCGAGGGGAGUGAAAAAGAACCUGAAACCGUGUACGUACAAGCAGUGGGAGCACGCUUAGGCGUGUGACUGCGUACCUUUUGUAUAAUGGGUCAGCGACUUAUAUUCUGUAGCAAGGUUAACCGAAUAGGGGAGCCGAAGGGAAACCGAGUCUUAACUGGGCGUUAAGUUGCAGGGUAUAGACCCGAAACCCGGUGAUCUAGCCAUGGGCAGGUUGAAGGUUGGGUAACACUAACUGGAGGACCGAACCGACUAAUGUUGAAAAAUUAGCGGAUGACUUGUGGCUGGGGGUGAAAGGCCAAUCAAACCGGGAGAUAGCUGGUUCUCCCCGAAAGCUAUUUAGGUAGCGCCUCGUGAAUUCAUCUCCGGGGGUAGAGCACUGUUUCGGCAAGGGGGUCAUCCCGACUUACCAACCCGAUGCAAACUGCGAAUACCGGAGAAUGUUAUCACGGGAGACACACGGCGGGUGCUAACGUCCGUCGUGAAGAGGGAAACAACCCAGACCGCCAGCUAAGGUCCCAAAGUCAUGGUUAAGUGGGAAACGAUGUGGGAAGGCCCAGACAGCCAGGAUGUUGGCUUAGAAGCAGCCAUCAUUUAAAGAAAGCGUAAUAGCUCACUGGUCGAGUCGGCCUGCGCGGAAGAUGUAACGGGGCUAAACCAUGCACCGAAGCUGCGGCAGCGACGCUGAUGCGUUGUUGGGUAGGGGAGCGUUCUGUAAGCCUGUGAAGGUGUGCUGUGAGGCAUGCUGGAGGUAUCAGAAGUGCGAAUGCUGACAUAAGUAACGAUAAAGCGGGUGAAAAGCCCGCUCGCCGGAAGACCAAGGGUUCCUGUCCAACGUUAAUCGGGGCAGGGUGAGUCGACCCCUAAGGCGAGGCCGAAAGGCGUAGUCGAUGGGAAACAGGUUAAUAUUCCUGUACUUGGUGUUACUGCGAAGGGGGGACGGAGAAGGCUAUGUUGGCCGGGCGACGGUUGUCCCGGUUUAAGCGUGUAGGCUGGUUUUCCAGGCAAAUCCGGAAAAUCAAGGCUGAGGCGUGAUGACGAGGCACUACGGUGCUGAAGCAACAAAUGCCCUGCUUCCAGGAAAAGCCUCUAAGCAUCAGGUAACAUCAAAUCGUACCCCAAACCGACACAGGUGGUCAGGUAGAGAAUACCAAGGCGCUUGAGAGAACUCGGGUGAAGGAACUAGGCAAAAUGGUGCCGUAACUUCGGGAGAAGGCACGCUGAUAUGUAGGUGAAGCGACUUGCUCGUGGAGCUGAAAUCAGUCGAAGAUACCAGCUGGCUGCAACUGUUUAUUAAAAACACAGCACUGUGCAAACACGAAAGUGGACGUAUACGGUGUGACGCCUGCCCGGUGCCGGAAGGUUAAUUGAUGGGGUCAGCGCAAGCGAAGCUCUUGAUCGAAGCCCCGGUAAACGGCGGCCGUAACUAUAACGGUCCUAAGGUAGCGAAAUUCCUUGUCGGGUAAGUUCCGACCUGCACGAAUGGCGUAAUGAUGGCCAGGCUGUCUCCACCCGAGACUCAGUGAAAUUGAACUCGCUGUGAAGAUGCAGUGUACCCGCGGCAAGACGGAAAGACCCCGUGAACCUUUACUAUAGCUUGACACUGAACAUUGAGCCUUGAUGUGUAGGAUAGGUGGGAGGCUUUGAAGUGUGGACGCCAGUCUGCAUGGAGCCGACCUUGAAAUACCACCCUUUAAUGUUUGAUGUUCUAACGUGGACCCGUAAUCCGGGUUGCGGACAGUGUCUGGUGGGUAGUUUGACUGGGGCGGUCUCCUCCUAAAGAGUAACGGAGGAGCACGAAGGUUGGCUAAUCCUGGUCGGACAUCAGGAGGUUAGUGCAAUGGCAUAAGCCAGCUUGACUGCGAGCGUGACGGCGCGAGCAGGUGCGAAAGCAGGUCAUAGUGAUCCGGUGGUUCUGAAUGGAAGGGCCAUCGCUCAACGGAUAAAAGGUACUCCGGGGAUAACAGGCUGAUACCGCCCAAGAGUUCAUAUCGACGGCGGUGUUUGGCACCUCGAUGUCGGCUCAUCACAUCCUGGGGCUGAAGUAGGUCCCAAGGGUAUGGCUGUUCGCCAUUUAAAGUGGUACGCGAGCUGGGUUUAGAACGUCGUGAGACAGUUCGGUCCCUAUCUGCCGUGGGCGCUGGAGAACUGAGGGGGGCUGCUCCUAGUACGAGAGGACCGGAGUGGACGCAUCACUGGUGUUCGGGUUGUCAUGCCAAUGGCACUGCCCGGUAGCUAAAUGCGGAAGAGAUAAGUGCUGAAAGCAUCUAAGCACGAAACUUGCCCCGAGAUGAGUUCUCCCUGACUCCUUGA
RNAcentral lists this ribosomal RNA (2787 nucleotides) under Escherichia coli. RNAcentral describes it as "bacterial LSU rRNA". It matches the Rfam family "Bacterial large subunit ribosomal RNA". The record is from RNAcentral. Lineage: Bacteria; Pseudomonadati; Pseudomonadota; Gammaproteobacteria; Enterobacterales; Enterobacteriaceae.